AAAUGGCUCGUCAGAAUAAUCUCGUACCGCCACCCACCUCACACUUCCGUCACUGCACAAUGGCUUCACUAGUUGAUUCAUGUGACUCGCAAAGAACGCAUUCUUGCUGCGGUUGGGUCAUGAACUGCACGGCAUAUAUGGCCAGACCUGAGGCCUGUUCAUUCACACAUCGAUUCAGAGGAAAACAGACAUCAGAGAUUCUGCAACUACCUCUCUCAGUCUUUCUUGCUUCCUUGUAGCCCUGGUUGAUACUUUCCAUUGUCCUUUGAGUACAAGCCAGUUGGAGACGGAAGGCGAGGCGACUGCAUUGUCCGUAAGAAUUCCUGCUUAACAACUACACGAUCCUUGAUCCAGCAGAGAAAGAUCCACCAAUCGUGGAUAAACAACAAAGUGAGCCAGAAGAGAUCAGCAGCGACCGCCCACUUCCAUGACGCACUGCGAAUGAAGCAGUCUACCAAUAAAUUUGUAUAUAUAUUUUCGGGUUUUUUUUUUAUUAUUUUUUUUAUAGACUUUCAAUUUAUUGAUUCUAUAUGUAUAGCCAACAGCUAUUUUUCCAUCGUUUCCAGCUCGAUUACGUCAUUCAAAAUGCUUCAUUGGAUUGUAAUUCAUUCCCUCAAUAAAGAUAUUAAGUACACAGUCUCAAACUUUUGUCUUUCUGUCUGGUUUUCAAAUACAUUUGUGCUUCAAAUCAAAGUUUGUAAUGUUGUGAUUCACCUCUGAGCUGGCUGGUUGGUUCA
Molecule: long non-coding RNA, 737 nt
Organism: Myxocyprinus asiaticus (Chinese sucker)
Lineage: Eukaryota; Metazoa; Chordata; Actinopteri; Cypriniformes; Catostomidae
Exons: 3
Source: RefSeq, a predicted model, not a curated record